UACGUAUGUCGCAAGCGUUAUCCGGAAUUAUUGGGCAUAAAGGGCAUCUAGGCGGCCAGAUAAGUCUGGGGUGAAAACUUGCGGCUCAACCGCAAGCCUGCCCUGGAAACUAUGUGGCUAGAGUACUGGAGAGGUGGACGGAACUGCACGAGUAGAGGUGAAAUUCGUAGAUAUGUGCAGGAAUGCCGAUGAUGAAGAUAGUUCACUGGACGGUAACUGACGCUGAAGUGCGAAAGCUAGGGGAGCAAACAGG
RNAcentral lists this ribosomal RNA (253 nucleotides) under uncultured bacterium. Its description in RNAcentral is "partial 16S ribosomal RNA". It matches the Rfam family "Bacterial small subunit ribosomal RNA", at positions 524 to 776 of the family's 1533-position model. The record is from RNAcentral. RNAcentral also lists the same sequence under 1 other name.